Molecule: ribosomal RNA, 767 nt
Filed under: Salmonella enterica
Lineage: Bacteria; Pseudomonadati; Pseudomonadota; Gammaproteobacteria; Enterobacterales; Enterobacteriaceae
Also listed under: 2 other names
Description: partial 23S ribosomal RNA
Rfam family: Bacterial large subunit ribosomal RNA
Source: RNAcentral
GUGAAAUUGAACUCGCUGUGAAGAUGCAGUGUACCCGCGGCAAGACGGAAAGACCCCGUGAACCUUUACUAUAGCUUGACACUGAACAUUGAGCCUUGAUGUGUAGGAUAGGUGGGAGGCUUUGAAGUGUGGACGCCAGUCUGCAUGGAGCCGACCUUGAAAUACCACCCUUUAAUGUUUGAUGUUCUAACGUGGACCCGUAAUCCGGGUUGCGGACAGUGUCUGGUGGGUAGUUUGACUGGGGCGGUCUCCUCCUAAAGAGUAACGGAGGAGCACGAAGGUUGGCUAAUCCUGGUCGGACAUCAGGAGGUUAGUGCAAUGGCAUAAGCCAGCUUGACUGCGAGCGUGACGGCGCGAGCAGGUGCGAAAGCAGGUCAUAGUGAUCCGGUGGUUCUGAAUGGAAGGGCCAUCGCUCAACGGAUAAAAGGUACUCCGGGGAUAACAGGCUGAUACCGCCCAAGAGUUCAUAUCGACGGCGGUGUUUGGCACCUCGAUGUCGGCUCAUCACAUCCUGGGGCUGAAGUAGGUCCCAAGGGUAUGGCUGUUCGCCAUUUAAAGUGGUACGCGAGCUGGGUUUAGAACGUCGUGAGACAGUUCGGUCCCUAUCUGCCGUGGGCGCUGGAGAACUGAGGGGGGCUGCUCCUAGUACGAGAGGACCGGAGUGGACGCAUCACUGGUGUUCGGGUUGUCAUGCCAAUGGCACUGCCCGGUAGCUAAAUGCGGAAGAGAUAAGUGCUGAAAGCAUCUAAGCACGAAACUUGCCCCGA